GGAGCUGUAACUCAGCUGGUAGAGUGGCAGAUUGCAAUUCCUGUUGAACAGUUAACACUAGAACAUAGUUUAACUUAACUGGAGCAAUUCAUCUGUAAGUCCCGCGUUCGAGUCGCGGCAGUUCCU
Non-coding RNA from Aspergillus melleus, 126 nucleotides. Lineage: Eukaryota; Fungi; Ascomycota; Eurotiomycetes; Eurotiales; Aspergillaceae. The record is from the annotation of a RefSeq genome assembly.